GGAUUCUGCCUGACGUAGACGCUAUUCCCUAAGAUUAACCCAUGCAUGUUUUUGACAUUUGAAAAAUGGACUGCUCAGUAAUACUCACUUUAUUUUAUGUACAUGUGAAACUAACUACGUUAAAGUGUAGAUAAGAUGUGUACAGUAAGAGUGAGACCUAUCAGCUAGUUGUUAAGGUAAUGGCUUAACAAGGCAGUGACGGGUAACGGUAUUACUUUGUAAUAUUCCGGAGAAGGAGCCUGAGAGACGGCUACUAAGUCUAAGGAUUGCAGCAGGGGCGAAACUUGACCUAUGGAUUUAUUCUGAGGCAGUUAUGGGAAGUAAUAUUAUAUUGUUUCAUAUUUUAAAAGUAUAUGAGGUGAUUAAUUGGAGGGCAAAUCAAGUGCCAGCAGCCGCGGUAAUACUUGUUCCAAGAGUGUGUAUGAUGAUUGAUGCAGUUAAAAAGUCCGUAGUUUAUGGUUAAGAAGCAAUAUGAGGUGUACUGUAUAGUUGGGAGAAAGAUGAAAUGUGACGACCCUGACUGG
RNAcentral lists this ribosomal RNA (524 nucleotides) under Nosema sp. TBR7. RNAcentral's name for it is "SSU rRNA". It matches the Rfam family "Microsporidia small subunit ribosomal RNA", at positions 9 to 587 of the family's 1311-position model. The record is from RNAcentral. Lineage: Eukaryota; Fungi; Microsporidia; Nosematidae.